This 73-nucleotide transfer RNA is filed under the name Peptococcaceae bacterium. RNAcentral's name for it is "tRNA-Thr". It matches the Rfam family "tRNA". Rfam says of the family: Transfer RNA (tRNA) molecules are approximately 80 nucleotides in length. Their secondary structure includes four short double-helical elements and three loops (D, anti-codon, and T loops). The record is from RNAcentral. Lineage: Bacteria; Bacillati; Bacillota; Clostridia; Eubacteriales; Peptococcaceae.
GCUGAUGUAGCUCAGUUGGUAGAGCAGCUGAUUCGUAAUCAGCAGGUCUCCGGUUCAAGUCCGGUCAUCAGCU